GUGCUUGCUUUUAUAAGCGCUAGCUGCACAGUGGGAGUUUUCUAUACAUAAAGCCACCCCUCGGGUCCACAGCGAAUCACAUCUGGUGGCAAGGACUCAGUGGGCAAGCCCGAGAUCAUGCUUGACUGUACUAACUGCAGUGAAUGUAGCUGUUUAGGUUACAAACUCCAACCAUCUCGCUGAUAAAGACAAACGCCAACAAAUACCAGUGACGGGCAGCUGUGGACAUUGGGGUCUAAAGUCCAGUCAUUACAAGCCAUCUCUGCGCUGGGUUUCUUCGCCUUCGAGUGCGUGCCCUUAACAAGAUGCACAUGACCAAAGUCCUCAAGAUGCCACACCAAGAGGUUAUUAUGUGUGAUUGGGUUGUGUCUGUCUGCCUCUGUCUGGCUGAAGGGAGAAAUCCACAGUUGAACUGCUCUCACCUCUACUGAACUGACCUAUACAGCAUUAUGCAUACAGCACAGCACUACAGCGGCUGAGACCAGGGUUUGAUCCCGACUUUGGGUGCUGUCUGUGCGGAGUUUCCACGUUCAUAAGUCGUAGGACUGGAAUAGGCCAUUCGGCUCAACACGUCUACUUUGCUAUUCAAUCAUGGCUGAUCUGUCUUUUCCUCUCAACCCCAUUCUUCUGUCUUCUCCCCAUAACCCCUGACACCCGUACUAAUCAAAAAUCUAUCAAUCUCCACUUUAAAAAUACCCAAUGACGUGGCCUCCACAGCAGCCUGUCUUUCUGUUUUUAGUUCAGAUUUCUAGCAUCUGCAAUUUUUAUUUGUUUUUGCAGCUUUAGACUUUAGAGAUUUGAAUUGAUAUCAACUUUUACAUUGCCAGCAUUUUUUAAAGGUGAAUAUAAGUUCAAUGGUGCCUUUAUUGUCAUGGGCGAAGAGAGGGUCAUUGGUUCGCACAGUAAAAACCUUUGCUUACACAAGAGGGUCCUGUACUGUAUUCCCAUACCUAAGCACAUCCCCGAUUAAUAAGUGUACAGAAAUAAUCCACUGAGCUGCUGCAAGGCCUCCAACCAUCGCCUUCCUUGGACGUGUGGAUCGACUGGUGAACCGACGUCCCUCUCCUCGCCCGUCUACCUUUGUGCCCCAGGGGCGCCUCCUGCAGCCCACCUUGAGUGCGCAGAAGGCCAGAGCCCGGCCCCCUCUCUAUAGUCCAUAUACCUAGUCUACUUAUUCAUUCACGGUUGUUACUGACUUCAUACGGACAUCUGUGGAAGAGUGUGUUCCCACCAAUUGCAUCAAGUGUACCCUAACCAGAAGUCUUGGAUGAACAACUGAGGACCAGAUCACAGGCCUUCCUGACCCGAAACAUCACCUAUCCAUGUUCUCCUGAGAUGCUGCCUGACCCAUUGAGUUACUCCAGCACUUUGUGGCUUUUUUGUGUAAACCACCACCUGCAGUUCAAAUGUUGAAAAAAAUGGAAUGCAAAUGCUGAUUUACACAAAAGUACACAAAGUGUGGGAAUAACCCAGCGGGUCAGGCAGCAUCUCUGGAAAACAUUCCAGCGACCACCACAAUAGGUCAACAUGAGAUGUGAGUUCACUGGCUCUCCAUUCUGCAAUACACCAUGUGGACCAUAGAAACACUUAUGUGUAGGAAGGAAUUGCAGAUGUUGGUUGAUAUCGAAGGUGGAUACUAAACGCUGGAGAGAGUUUUGAAGGGUUCCGACCCGAAACAUCAGCUAUUCCUUUUCUUCAGAGAUGCAGCCUGCUCCACUGAAUUAUAGUCAUAGUCAGAAACAGGCCCUUCGGCCCAACUUGCCCACACCAACCAACAUGUCCCAUCUACCCUAGUCCCAACUGCGUGCGUUUGGCCCAUUUUCCUCUAAGCCUGUCCUAUCCAUGUACCUGUCUAAAUGUUUCUUAAACAUUACCUCAACAAACUCCUCCAGUCACUCGUUCCAUUCACCCACCACAGAUUGUGUGGGAGUAGUCACCUAUCGGGUUCCCCUUUCCCCUGUCACCUUAAACCUAUGCCCUCUGGUUCUCGAUUCCCCAACUCUGGGAAAGAGACUCUGUGAUCUAUUCCUCUCAUGAUUUUGUACAUUUGAGUAUACCGGAGUUACCUCAGCGUUUUGUGUCUAUCUUCAAGUCUAGUCGAUCGGGCUGUUGUUCAUUGACUACAGCUCGACGUUUAACUCCAUCACCUCCUGUUAAGUUCUCAUGAAACUCAGAGAUCUAUGUCUCUGUUCAUCCCGAAUGUAAUUGGGUGCUCGACUUCCUCGUCGGCAGACCACAAUCACUAUGAAUUGGAAACAACAUUUCCUCCUCGAUCAAAACACAGAGAGUGUCUCUCUCGCUCUCUCGCUCUCUCUCUUCCUGGAAUACCUUUAACAAUUACCAGUCUACAGUUUCACCUUGCCUCACCACAUUCUUCCCGUUGUGAUUUAUUGCUUCAUACUUCUCAGUGUUAGAUUUCAUCUGUUACAUAUCAGCCCAUGUUACCAGUCUGUUA
This is a long non-coding RNA of Leucoraja erinaceus (little skate), 2455 nucleotides long. RefSeq lists it as uncharacterized. The transcript has 3 exons. Lineage: Eukaryota; Metazoa; Chordata; Chondrichthyes; Rajiformes; Rajidae. The record is from RefSeq and is a predicted model, not a curated record.